AUGCUCCUGCUACUGACCUUGCUGCUCAUUUCUGAUGGAGUUGGCACUGCCACCUGCUCGACAGUCCCCGGUAACAGCACGGACAUGCUCUGGUUGCUAGAUUUCAAGCGGGCCAUCACCAACGAUCCAAGGCAAGCCUUGAGCUCUUGGAACGCCAGCACCCCCCAUUGCAAGUGGGAGGGCGUCAACUGCUGCCUCACGCACCCAGGUCGCGUCACUGUGCUAAACCUCACCGAGCAAGGGUUGUCAGGUUCGAUUUCCCCAUCCCUUGGGAACCUGACGUUCCUUGAGACACUGGGCCUGUCCAGAAAUAGCUUCACCGGCAAGAUACCUCCUCUCGGACGUCUCCACAGACUGCAACAACUUUUGCUGAGUAAAAACUCUUUGCAAGGGAUCAUUCCUGCUACACUUACAAAUUGUUCCAACCUAAAUUCCUUAGACCUAUCCGGUAACUCCCUGACAGGUGAAAUUCCACUCAAUAUAGGCUUGCUCUCCAAUUUGUCGUUUCUACAGCUUGCCAGAAAUAAUAUCACCGGGACGAUCCCACCAAGCCUGAAAAACAUCAGUCAGUUAGCACUAAUCAAUCUUGCAGAUAAUCAGCUCAUGGGCAGCAUUCCUGAUGAGAUAGGACAAUUUCCAAGUCUGCUUGGUUUGUUACUUAGUGGUAAUAUGCUAUCAGGUAGAAUCCCAACAACCGUGCUUAACCAGUCUUAUCUACAAAUAUUAGACGUAAGUAUCAAUAUGAUAGGGAACACAUUGCCAUCUAAUUUUGGUGAUACCCUCCCAAGUCUCACAUUGCUC
RNAcentral lists this ribosomal RNA (801 nucleotides) under Triticum aestivum (bread wheat). RNAcentral's name for it is "partial small subunit ribosomal RNA". The record is from RNAcentral. Lineage: Eukaryota; Viridiplantae; Streptophyta; Magnoliopsida; Poales; Poaceae.